This 430-nucleotide ribosomal RNA is filed under the name uncultured delta proteobacterium. RNAcentral describes it as "bacterial SSU rRNA". It matches the Rfam family "Bacterial small subunit ribosomal RNA", at positions 958 to 1385 of the family's 1533-position model. RNAcentral also lists the same sequence under 1 other name. The record is from RNAcentral. Lineage: Bacteria; Deltaproteobacteria.
AACGCGAAGAACCUUACCUGGGCUUGAACUACUGGUAGUAAGUCCUUGGAAACAGGGGCUGAUCCGCAAGGAAGCCAGCAGAGGUGCUGCAUGGUUGUCGUCAGCUCGUGUCGUGAGAUGUUGGGUUAAGUCCCGCAACGAGCGCAACCCCUAUCCAAUGUUGCUACUCCCGCAAGGGAGGCACUCUUUGGAAACUGCCUUCGAUAAGAAGGAGGAAGGUGGGGACGACGUCAAAUCCUCAUGGCCCUUAUGUCCAGGGCCACACACGUGUUACAAUGGCCGGUACAAUGGGAAGCAAUACCGCAAGGUGGAGCCAAACCCCAAAGCCGGCCCCAGUUCAGAUUGUGGGCUGCAACUCGCCCACAUGAAGGCGGAAUCGCUAGUAAUCGCUGAUCAGCAGGCAGCGGUGAAUACGUUCCCGGGCCUUGUA